Molecule: ribosomal RNA, 435 nt
Filed under: uncultured bacterium
Lineage: Bacteria
Description: bacterial SSU rRNA
Rfam family: Bacterial small subunit ribosomal RNA
Source: RNAcentral
AACGCGAAGAACCUUACCAUCCCUUGACAUCCAGAGAAUUUUCUAGAGAUAGAUUAGUGCCUUCGGGAGCUCUGAGACAGGUGCUGCAUGGCUGUCGUCAGCUCGUGUUGUGAAAUGUUGGGUUAAGUCCCGCAACGAGCGCAACCCCUAUCCUUAUUUGCCAGCGAGUAGUGUCGGGAACUCUAAGGAGACUGCCGGUGAUAAGCCGGAGGAAGGUGAGGAUGACGUCAAGUCAGCAUGCCCCUUACGACCUGGGCCACACACGUGCUACAAUGGCCGGGACAAAGAGAUGCAAUCUCGCGAGAGCAAGCUAACCUCAAAAACCCGGUCUUAGUUCGGAUCGGAGUCUGCAACUCGACUCCGUGAAGUCGGAAUCGCUAGUAAUCGUGGAUCAGAAUGCCACGGUGAAUACGUUCCCGGGUCUUGUACACACCG